UAUGCAUAAGUGCAAUGAAACGACUCUGGGGAAUAAAAACAAUAGCAUACAAAUGCAAAAAUGUAUAAAUGGAGAACAUGCAAGUGGGAUGAUUUUACAUUCAAAAUCGAGUGUACAAAACACAAUGUACAAAUGCGAAAAAUGUAGAAGUGACAAAUGUAUAAACGGAGUUCUAUUGUAUUUAAAAAAAUUUAACCGGAAUUCAGACCUGAAUUAUUUAUAUAGCAAUCAGCUACACUACUAACGAGGCUAUUAAUAUGUUAAAAUUUUAAACAAAUUAUGAUAAUUGAACGAAAUGUUGAAAAUUACAAACUUUAAAAAAUUUAUAUAAAAAAAUGAUUGAGUGUCCACAUCUAAGAUUUUGACAGGUGAAUCAAUACAUGGAUCACCAUAAUUCUGCAAAAUUUUGCCCAAAUCAUAGAUCAUAAUCAGGUCCCCAAUCAUGAGUCACAAUUGACAAGGUCCCCUUGUCAGUUUAACAGACCCUGUUUUAACAGAUUUGAAUUUAAUUCACAAAAUAUUUAAUCCUCAUUUUUAUUUGAACUUUAUUUUUGGUCAUCACUAUUGAUUAUAGCAAAAAAAAAUUUUAUCAACAAAAAAUAGCAAGU
Molecule: long non-coding RNA, 608 nt
Filed under: Androctonus crassicauda
Lineage: Eukaryota; Metazoa; Arthropoda; Arachnida; Scorpiones; Buthidae
Source: RNAcentral